AACCAGGAGGUUGGCUUAGAAGCAGCCACCCUUGAAAGAGUGCGUAAUAGCUCACUGGUCUAGUGAUUCCGCGCCGACAAUGUAGCGGGGCUCAAGCGUACCGCCGAAGUCGUGUCAUUGCAGCAAUACGGCCAACGCCGGCUGUGAUGGGUAGGGGAGCGUCGUGUGCCGGGUGAAGCAGCACCGGAAGGUAGUUGUGGACGGUUCACGAGUGAGAAUGCAGGCAUGAGUAGCGAUUCACACGUGAGAAACGUGUGCGCCGAUUGACUAAGGGUUCCUGGGUCAAGCUGAUCUGCCCGAGGGUAAGUCGGGACCUAAGGCGAGGCCGACAGGCGUAGUCGAUGGAUAACCGGUUGAUAC
This 360-nucleotide non-coding RNA is filed under the name Streptomyces afghaniensis 772. Its description in RNAcentral is "Bacterial large subunit ribosomal RNA". It matches the Rfam family "Bacterial large subunit ribosomal RNA", at positions 1091 to 1436 of the family's 2925-position model. The record is from Rfam by way of RNAcentral. Lineage: Bacteria; Bacillati; Actinomycetota; Actinomycetes; Kitasatosporales; Streptomycetaceae.